This 309-nucleotide ribosomal RNA is filed under the name uncultured bacterium. RNAcentral's name for it is "partial 16S ribosomal RNA". It matches the Rfam family "Bacterial small subunit ribosomal RNA", at positions 504 to 809 of the family's 1533-position model. The record is from RNAcentral.
AGAGACAGCAGCAGCCGCGGGAAUACGUAGGUGGCAAGCGUUGUCCGGAAUUAUUGGGCGUAAAGGGCUCGCAGGCGGUUUCUUAAGUCUGAUGUGAAAGCCCCAGGCUCAACCGGGGAGGGUCAUUGGAAACUGGGAAACUUGAGUGCAGAAGAGGAGAGUGGAAUUCCACGUGUAGCGGUGAAAUGCGUAGAGAUGUGGAGGAACACCAGUGGCGAAGGCGACUCUCUGGUCUGUAACUGACGCUGAGGAGCGAAAGCGUGGGGAGCGAACAGGAUUAGAUACCCCAGUAGUCCCUGUCUCUUAUAA